RNAcentral lists this ribosomal RNA (200 nucleotides) under uncultured eukaryote. RNAcentral's name for it is "partial 18S ribosomal RNA". It matches the Rfam family "Eukaryotic small subunit ribosomal RNA", at positions 588 to 847 of the family's 1831-position model. The record is from RNAcentral.
GCUCCAGUAGCUAUCCACAUGUUGUUGCAGUUAAAAAGCUCGUAGUUGAAUGUCUGGGAUUUGAGUCUGCCGCUCAGCGGCGACUCUGCCGCCCCGCCGAAAGGCGCUUUUACUGUGAAAAAAUUAGAGUGUUCCAAGCAGGCCUAGCCUGAAUACCUUAGCAUGGAAUAAUAACAUAGGACUGUCUGUGAUGUUGUUGG